GAUGAAGAACGUAGCUAAAUGCGAUAAGUAAUGUGAAUUGCAGAAUUCAGUGAAUCAUCGAGUCUUUGAACGCACAUUGCGCCCCCUGGUAUUCCGGGGGGCAUGCCUGUCCGAGCGUCAUUGCUGCCCUCAAGCACGGCUUGUGUGUUGGGCCCCCGUCCCCGGUUUCCCCCGGGGACGGGCCCGAAAGGCAGCGGCGGCACCGCGUCCGGUCCUCGAGCGUAUGGGGCUUUGUCACCCGCUCUGUAGGCCCGGCCGGCGCCAGCCGACACCCAACUUUAUUUCUAAGGUUGACCUCGGAUCAGGUAGGGAUACCCGCUGAACUUAAGCAUAUCAAUAAGCGGAGGA
Molecule: unclassified non-coding RNA, 348 nt
Filed under: soil metagenome
Description: partial contains 5.8S ribosomal RNA, internal transcribed spacer 2, and large subunit ribosomal RNA
Rfam family: 5.8S ribosomal RNA (bases 1-120)
Source: RNAcentral